CCCAGAUUAGGUAGUAACAACCAUUUGAGUCUGGGAUUUCUGAAUGGGGAAACCCACUUACAUAAGUAAGUAUCAUUAACUGAAUACAUAGGUUAAUGAGGCGAACCGGGGGAACUGAAACAUCUAAGUACCCCGAGGAAAAGAAAUCAACCGAGAUUCCGAAAGUAGCGGCGAGCGAAAUUGGACUAGCCCUUAAGCUUUACACGCGUUAGACGAACGGUCUGGAAAGUCCGACGAUACAGGGUGAUAGUCCCGUAGUUGACGACGUGUGUUCAGUGAAAUCGAGUAGGGCGGGACACGUGAUAUCCUGUCUGAAUAUGGGGGGACCAUCCUCCAAGGCUAAAUACUACUGACUGACCGAUAGUGAACCAGUACCGUGAGGGAAAGGCGAAAAGAACCCCUGUGAGGGGAGUGAAAUAGAACCUGAAACCGUGUACGUACAAGCAGUAGGAGCA
Molecule: ribosomal RNA, 455 nt
Filed under: Vibrio parahaemolyticus
Lineage: Bacteria; Pseudomonadati; Pseudomonadota; Gammaproteobacteria; Vibrionales; Vibrionaceae
Description: partial 23S ribosomal RNA
Rfam family: Bacterial large subunit ribosomal RNA
Source: RNAcentral